GGAGGGAAGAAGGAAGGAAGGAAUUUAGAGAUUAGGUUUCCAUAGACACUACUACUUUAUUUAAUAAAGAAAAUACCUUUCAACUCUAUUUCAUAUUUCUAUGUGCUUGUUAUUUAGUCAUAUUUUAGAUUACCUAGUAGAAUUUCCAGAAAGCUGCUUCUACAAAGAAUUGUGACAGAAAACAUUUGUAGAAGCAGGGAGUGGUGAUGCUUGCCUUUCCUCCCAGCAGGCAGAACUCUGACUCACGGGUCAACCUGCCAGGCCAGCCAGGGCUCUGUGGUAAGACCCUGUCUCAAAAGGGAGAUGCAGCGGGACUUGAUCAUAAAAGGUUUAAUCUACCACACACUGUCCGUAUGACUUCACCUCCUACCUGGUGUGGAUAGGCAAAACAAGCUGCUGAAACAUAUAGCCCAGUGGUGGAGUAGAUGCCUAGCAAGCCGUAGGCCCUGUGUUCAAUCCCCAGUACUGAAAACAUAAAAGUACUGCCAAGAUAAGCCACGCGAUAAACCUGAUUCCUACAGCAAAUCUUCACAAGCUCUAUAACAGAACGAGAAAGAUACAAUAUGACAAGGUCUCAGUAUGAAACCUGCCAAGCACUAGGCCCUGGGCGACCUGAAACUCACCAUGAAGACAAGCCCCACCUCCAGUUCUCAGAGAUCUGCCUGCCUCUGCAUCCUGCACAUGAAGAUUGAAGGUGUACACCACCAUACCUGGCUUCCCAAGGUGUAGCCCAGCCCGGCCUCUGCCUUCUCAGCGUAGCCUGCUGGAACGGGCCACCAUAAUAAACAAAUUUUAUUAUAGACGUCAAAAGUACAUAUCAACCGAAAAGUAGGUGCUAUUUUACAAUGCCCUACCAAAAAAAACAAUUAGAGGAACAAAAGCAGUGUUGAGAAAACCUUGUUCGUGGAACUCUGCGAGCAUGUCUAAGAAUGUUCUCUAAAAAAAUAUGUACUGGUAUGUCUGUAGAUCAAAAAUAUGAGAUGAAGGGUUCCCGCUUGCUUUUGAAAAUGCAAUGCCACUUAAGCAUUUUUAAAGUGCUGUAACUUUUUCAGCUAAGUCCACGAGAAGCGGGAACUUGACUGUGGCCUUCUGUUACGAUGGUGUUAUGGACAUGUGCCCUGAAACACUCCGCCACACACAUCUGCCCUAAACAUGCAUCAAGAAUGAAGAGGAAAUGUGGGUGUCAAGUAGCAGAAGCAGCCAGGCCGUGGCUGACCACCCCUUUCUGAAAGGGCAGACGAGAUGGUGAGAAGGGGCUGACGAUGGAGUCCUGCUGGACAUUGGGACAUUGCAAAUGGGUGGGGAGUGCUGGCUAACCGUGCUGGGGAGGAGAAAGCUACUGCAAGUGCAGCAUGCAGGUGUGACUUGCAUCACCAGAAGAGAAGCCACCCGUACAGCAUGCAGGUGUGACUUGCAUCACCAGAAGAGAAGCCACCAGUACAGCAUGCAGGUGUGACUUGCAUCACCAGAAGAGAAGCCACCGGUACAGCCUUCUUACCAGUAACUAUGCUAGCCCAUCUAGUGGGUGAAUCAGUUUUACCCAUCCAUCCAACAGGAUGCUCCCUUAGUCACGGCCCUUCCUAGCAAGAGAGAAGCUGAGCAAAGAGACUGCUGAGAGUCACAUAAGCUAACAAACCAGAAAUUCCUAAAGUGCAUGAAGAGGUUAAUGUCAGAAAACCAUCACAACCAGCAAUCUGGAGAGAAAUUCACUCCAGAGGAAUAAAACUAAUAUCCUGAAAAGAGCUUAAAAAUAAAUGUUUUAGGAGCUUUGAAGAAGUGCCGGGCAGUAGUGGCACAUGCCUUUCAUCCCAGCACUUGGGAGGCAGAGGCCAGCCUGCUCUACAAAGUGAGUUCCAGGGCAGGACUGUUACAGAGAAACCCUGCCGCAAAAAACCAACAAACAAACAGAAAGAAAGAACUGCAUGAAAAGGUACCGGGGAGAGGGCUAAGAAAUGGUAAGGUAAAGAAGGAAAGCUGGGAAUAGUGGGGCACGCUUGUGUCUCUGGCUCUCAGGAGCAUAAGGAGUAUGAGAUCAAGGCCAGGGGAUACACAGAGAGACGUCUCAAAAACAAGCAAAUUAUAUAUGAUAUGUAUAUGAUUUCAAAAGCCUUACAUCUAGCAAAUAUGUCUUCAACCUAAUCCCAAACAUAGCACGUGAGACUCAGGAAGAGGCCAGUAAUCCGAGUUUCAAGUCUCCCUCAAGUGAGUCUGAGGUGGGUGGGCGUGGAGAAUCAACAGCUGACGUGAAAUUUCCGGUUUCAUUUGACCUUGAGACUUACCGAGGUCACGCGUUUCCUUCUGCUCAGGUGAGCCUGUCCCCACUCCAGCACUGAACACACACACACACACACACACACACACACACACACACACACACACACACACACACCUGUGACCAGAGGAGCAGCACUAGCCCACAGCCACAGCUCCCAGGUUUGUGGUCCACCUCUGACACGAGGACUGUAAGCAGUUUCCUCCUGCAGAGAUAAACAAGGCUAACUACGGCAUUAACUGCCCUCCUGAGCUACUACAGGGUCAAAUCCAGUGAAGGUUUGCAGAUUGUUUUCCAAGUAUCUGUUUAAGAUAAGACAGUUAUAAGUGUCUGUUCUAGAUUUAAACCUUGACCACUUGAGGGAGGUUCUGAAGAGCUCUGAGGAAAACUGCAUACAAGCACCACAUAGAAAAGAGAAAAAUCAUUAAAUUUUACCUUAUACAUCUUUGCAUUUUAAUUACUAGAAGACACUGCAUUAGAACUGCCAUUGUUCUGAAGAUUUCUGCAAAGUUCUGAAGUCUUCAUGGGACUUUAAGCCCUAGGAGGCUGCACUAUAUUGCUGUGUUUUUUUGUGCUUUGGAAAGGAGUGGGCUGUGUUAUCCUAAUUGUUUUCUUUCCAGUAAGUUUAAUGAAUUUGACACAUUAUAUAUUGUACCUUUUU
Molecule: long non-coding RNA, 2933 nt
Organism: Microtus ochrogaster (prairie vole)
Lineage: Eukaryota; Metazoa; Chordata; Mammalia; Rodentia; Cricetidae
Exons: 2
Source: RefSeq, a predicted model, not a curated record